Molecule: non-coding RNA, 899 nt
Organism: Peromyscus maniculatus bairdii (prairie deer mouse)
Lineage: Eukaryota; Metazoa; Chordata; Mammalia; Rodentia; Cricetidae
Source: RefSeq, a predicted model, not a curated record
UCUAACUCUGCUGGGCCCCGCCUCCUGUGAAGGCUUCUUUACAUCAGCCCUUCCUUAGGGCAGCUAAGGGUAAGGGUCAGGCUCCCACGGUCUCGUAGGUGGCUAUGAGGGUGAGCAGCAAUCAGGAAGUACAAGGUCCAUCUGGGGAGUUACUCCCUUGCUCUGGGGCACCCCGCAACACCCACAAGGAAGUGAAGCGGCUUUGAGGUCUUUAAGGACUCUCUUCAAUAGCUUCCUCUCUGGACUGUGGUGCUGUCCUAGAAGACAUCAACAUUUCUCAUUCUCAACUAUGAGCCUGCAGCCAUCCAUACCACUGCAAACGUAGCUUCCUUGCCCAUAAUAGCCACAGGCAGCAUGGAUCACGAACUUCCACAUCAUUUCCGGAGGCAGCACAGACCAUGGACACCAACACGGCCUCAGGUGGCAGCACAGACCACAGGCACCAACACAGCCUGCUUCAACAGUAUGGACCAACAGACACACAACCAGCACAACAACCCUUGAAUGUAGUACAGACCACAGACACCACCAUGGCCUCCGGCGUCACCGACGGUGGAGGUCUUUCCAAGAGGCUCAAUACAGAAAACAGAACCAUUCUCUAUCUUGGACAUCCUGCCAUUGUUCAGAGCCAGGGCAAUCAAUGGCGUGGCUGAGCAUCGAGUGUGGUGGGGGCAGAGCUUGUGAGAGCUCCGGGCUGCUGUGCGCCACCCUGCCAGCCCUACUCAGCAACAACAUGCUCUCCCAGCUAUCCCCAGCCACGCCCCCUCUUUCCCACCUCUCCACCACGCACAUUCAUUCAUGAAGCGGGGUUGCAAACCGCAGUGUGUCACACGGUGGUAUAUUUUUUGCCCCAACCAGCUUAACAUGCAAAUACGAAUUGCAACAAGUCAUUGGUCUGA